This 254-nucleotide ribosomal RNA is filed under the name uncultured bacterium. RNAcentral describes it as "partial 16S ribosomal RNA". It matches the Rfam family "Bacterial small subunit ribosomal RNA", at positions 524 to 776 of the family's 1533-position model. The record is from RNAcentral.
UACGUAGGGGCCAAGCGUUGUCCGGAUUUAUUGGGCGUAAAGAGCUCGUAGGCGGUUGGGCAAGUCGGGUGUGAAAACUCCAGGCUCAACUUGGAGAUGCCACCCGAUACUGCUCUGACUUGAGUUCGGUAGGGGAGUGGGGAAUUCCUGGUGUAGCGGUGAAAUGCGCAGAUAUCAGGAGGAACACCGGUGGCGAAGGCGCCACUCUGGGCCGAAACUGACGCUGAGGAGCGAAAGCGUGGGUAGCAAACAGG